GACGAACGCUGGCGGCGUGCUUAACACAUGCAAGUCGAACGGAAAGGCCCUGCUUUUGUGGGGUGCUCGAGUGGCGAACGGGUGAGUAACACGUGAGUAACCUGCCCUUGACUUUGGGAUAACUUCAGGAAACUGGGGCUAAUACCGGAUAGGAGCUCCUGCUGCAUGGUGGGGGUUGGAAAGUUUCGGCGGUUGGGGAUGGACUCGCGGCUUAUCAGCUUGUUGGUGGGGUAGUGGCUUACCAAGGCUUUGACGGGUAGCCGGCCUGAGAGGGUGACCGGCCACAUUGGGACUGAGAUACGGCCCAGACUCCUACGGGAGGCAGCAGUGGGGAAUAUUGCACAAUGGGCGGAAGCCUGAUGCAGCAACGCCGCGUGCGGGAUGACGGCCUUCGGGCUGUAAACCGCUUUCGCCUGUGACGAAGCGUGAGUGACGGUAAUGUGUAAAGAAGCACCGGCUAACUACGUG
RNAcentral lists this ribosomal RNA (468 nucleotides) under uncultured bacterium. RNAcentral describes it as "partial 16S ribosomal RNA". It matches the Rfam family "Bacterial small subunit ribosomal RNA", at positions 28 to 507 of the family's 1533-position model. The record is from RNAcentral.